CGUCAGGCGAAUGGGCAGUGGGCCCACCCCAAGGGGAUGGUGAUUGGUCAGAAAUAAUUAUAUAUUCCCACUCCCCUCGCUGUGAUUGGGUUGGGGUAGACAUGUGACCCUGUUCUGGCCAAUGAGACAGAAGGGAAGUCUCCUAGGGGCUUCUGGGAAGGAUUUCCCUCUCGAAUAAAAAGACAAAGCAGCCAUUUUAGGAUGGCUCACUUACUCUGGGGGAAGCCAGCCGCCAUGUUGUGAGGAGACCCAAGCAGCCCUUGGAGAAGCCUGCAAGGUGAGGAGCUGAGUCUGCCUGCCAACCAUCAGCACCAGCUUGCUAACUAUGAUAUGUCCUGCUUCAUGAUCGUGAGAGCCAAAAUAAAUUCACAAUUCCUCUGUUAGUCACAAUACCAGGAUUUCUGAGUGCCCAUCCUAGUGACAGUGAGAGGGCAGUCUUUUCGCUUCCUAAGGUAAGUCCAGGGAUCCCAGAGUGUCUACCAGUCCAAAGGAGGCCAUCCUGGUUAGUUGUUCCUCGUGAAAGAGAAAACCAGAAAAACUGGUUUAGCCACUGAAGGGUGCCCAGUUCUCAACCGCACAGGCUUCCCCACACCAGAAAUUCCAGCAGUUUCUCAGAGAAUAUCUGAGGAAAUGAAAUAUUGCCUUCGCAAAACACCCAGGGACCCAUCCUGAAGGAACAACCGAAGGAUGUCCCAACUUGUUAGAACAAAGAAGUCCAGGCUGUUGGUAUAGGCUGUCCUCCUGGGAUGCUGAGUCAGGUCGCAUGCUUCCUGGGAAAGAAGGGGAGAUUCAGGUUGUGCCGAUAGUGUGGGGACUUCUCCUGGCCCGUCUGGGCUUGCCAUUCCCCCCGGCCUCUGAGGCUUUCGUGUUUCUUCCUCCCUCUUCUGCCUUCUAAGUCUCCACGUGCUCUUCCCUCCAUCAUCUCAGCUUCUUUCCACCAUACCUCGCUGCCCAAGGUACUCAGAAACCAAGGCCUUUUCCCCCAGGAUCCCCUUCCAUAUAGUCCCACUCUUCUCUCAACGAUUCCUCUUUCAGGAAAUUCCUGAGGGGCUUGACUAUAGCACCGUGGGGAUCUCUGUUUCAGAGAUGGUGUGGGGGUGAGGGCAGGGACCCUCACCCUAACUCACUUCCCACCUCCCAUGACAGGAGGAAGGUUUGCUUCCACUGUCCUGGACCCAGCAUUCAAGGAUGGGCCUAGGAGCCAGGGCAGGACCCCAGUGGGACUGAUGUGCCCUCCAGUGGCCCCACGCCACAAUGGCACCACCACUCUCAUGCCCCAGUGCAGACCUCACUGCCACAAUGGCCCUCAGGACCCUGCCUGCCCACCUCCAUCCCUGGGCUGGCUGCCUCUCCCCUUGAACGUAGGUUACAGCUGAGGAGGGAAGCGAGGUCACUUGGGAGCUCUUUGUCUCUUGCACUGAGUUUAUAGUUAUUCCUACUACAUUCCGGAGAACUUUUAAGACCCCUGGGAAGGGCUGGGGAGGUGCCUUUUACGCUCCAGGCUCUGUGAGCUUGUAGGAAGGCCAGAGAAAUGGUCAGGCCUGGGGUGGCAUCUCAGCCAUUCUUGGGCCUCGAGGGAUGGAGGCACGGCCUUCCCACACAGCCAGAACGGCCCCAGAAGAGGAGUCUGCUUUCUCCCCUGGGAAAUGGGAAUAAUAAGAGCAUAAAAGGAGGUAAAGCCUUUUAUUCAGCCUUUGAAAGGUGAAUUUUCCCGGAGGAGUGAACACACUGGUAGGCAGGGCAAUGGUGAAGCAGAGCGAGGCCCUGAGACUUCAGAAUUUCAGGUGGCUCUGAGUCCUGGCAGCAAAGCCAGGCAAGCAAAGGCAAGGACUGAUUCUUUGACACACAUCAGUCUCUGUCUGGAGAACCUCAGGAACAUGAUUUGUGGGCCUGGCUACAUGUUUGUUGAAUCAAAAUAUGACUGAGUCAGUGAAUGACUGAAUGCACGAUUCCGGGUGAGCUCACUCAGCUCCGGCCCCAGAAUUCCCUGUGGUGCUGCUGAGAAUUUGCCUCCGCGCCACCUGCUGGCGGGCACUGACUCUGGCCAGCUCCUGCUAGAGUUGGAAGUUUGUCACCUGGAUGCGGAAGGGGAUGAUGGAAGGACGGGGACCAGCCUCUCUAUGGAUGACCUGCUCCCUCAGGAACAGCUGCUACCUGGUUUAUCCUGAUCCUUCUGAAGGUCAAUCAAGAAAACAUAUCAAAGGCUUGGAAAAGGCAAAAGAGAUUCCUGGGUGUCCUUUCAGAGGAAGGCUGGGUGUCAGCGAGGUGUCCUCUGAUGAUGAUCUGAUUCUUUAGGGGUAUGUGCUAUUGAUUGUCUUUGACUUUAUAACUCUGUAGGGAUAGAGGUAAUGUGUGUGAAACAGAUCAUAGUGCAAAUGAUUCCUGUUCAUAACCCCACAAAGGAAUUUUGUCCAAAUUCUCAUUUGCACUAGUUUUAACAUUUUGCUGGUUCCUUGGCAGUUAAAGAGUUAAGGAAAAUCUUUGCCAUGUGUUCACAUUUUUAAAAUUUCUAUGAGGGUCAUGACUUCACUUUCUUGAAAAUUAUAUUUGAGCAGCUCCUUGGUCCUUGGUCCCCAAGGAAUCUACAAAGCCUCUCACACCUUCCUUCCCUUCCUGCCCCCCAACCUGUUCAGGCAGCACCAGCAACUGCACCCUCUGGGUCCCCACUGUGCACAGCACAGACUUCAAGGACAAGCUGCCCUGUCUGCUCCCCGCCAGCCUCUCCCUCUAGACUGCCAGCUUCCGAGGGCAGGGGCCAGGUCUGAUUCUCGCUGGAUCUACAGAGCUCGGUAGAUGCUGUUGAAUGAAUUUACAAAUGUACUUAGUUGGGACCACACCUCAUUGUUGGUGAGGGAGCCCGAUAUACAGAAAGGGCCAUUCAUGCACUGGCCCAACACUCUGAGCCUCAGUUUCCACAUCUGGGAAAUGAGGAUAGUAUUCCCUAUAUACUGAACAUACAGAUGGGAAGGAAGUCUUAAGGGAACUCCUGCAUGCUUUCUAUUUCCCUCUUUUAGUUUCUAGUCCCAUCUCCUACCCCACGCCCAGGAGACUGGCUCCCCAUCCUGCAAGGCCCACGGGAAGUGUUCAGUUACGUCCCCCUGCCUGGCUCAUGAAUGAGAAGAGGAAGGGGAGAUGGCUUGAGGGGCCGGGGUGCCCAUCAUUGGGCGGGCGAGGAGCGGGGCCUACUUAGCAGAAGCCUUGAGCUCCAGUGCUGGGGGGUGGGGAGGCAGGAGGGGUGCUAGGUGCCUGAAGACUGACAGGGAAACCCCAUGAGAAAAACCGAAGGGAGACAGAGGUUGGAAGAGGCUGGAUUUCAAGUAGCUGCAGAUCCGGGCCCCAGCCCCAACCCAACCCAAGCCACCAGGAGCCCAGCUGCUUCUCUGGUCCCUGCCUCCCUAAACAGCUUCAUCUGCCAAGUUGCUGACUCCCGAAUAACUGGGAUUCGGGCGCCACCUUGUGGCCAUUUCUGAAAUUGCUUACCCAGGCUGAGUGGAACCCAGAUUCCAAGGGCGGAGGGAACCAGGCCAACAGUUGCCCAAAUUUCCUGGCCUCCGUCCUCUUCGUCCUCAUCUUCCGCCUUCCAUUUAUUGAAUACUGAAUGUAGGCCAGGCUCUGUGCUCAGCUGUUUUCAGGGCUUUAGCACAUUUAAUUUUGCAAGAGCCUUAAAAGUCAGGUGAUACCAUUUUACAAAUGACGAAACUGAGGCAUAGAGAAGUGAAGUUGUUUUUCCAAGGUCACACGGCUAGAGAGUGGACCAGAAGAGCUUCUCUCUGUACAGCAGAGGGUCGGUGAGGCCGUUCGUCUUGCCCCUUAACAGCCAUUUGGCCUUGGGGCCUUCCAGCUCAAAUUCAAAUAUGUUUUUGGCGCCGAUUCUGUGCCAGACCUUACACUGGGCACUGGGAUCUCCUGCAGUCCUCUGUCUCAGUGCCCACUAAUCCUCUCCCCAGCACUGAUCACCGUUUGUAUGGCCUGACUUACUUGUUAAGCAUUUAUCUCCCACCAAGACUGUGGGCUUGCUGAGAGCAGAGACCUAGUCUGUUUUCUUCACUCUUGCAUCUCCAGAGUCCAAAAUUGAUCUCGGAACACAGAAUAGGUGCUCAAUAAACAUUUGUGAACGAACUAAUACAUCAGCGAAUGAAUAUAAGACUUUUUAAAAGCCAAAAACAUCCGUGUCCUCAAGACGCUGACAGCCUAAUGAGGAAGGCAGACUGUAAAAGCUAGACAUGGAUCCUGCCCACCCCCCCACACCCCCCCUUCCCUCAGUGCUUUGCCAGAGGGAGGCAUGGGAGCUUCAGGAGCCCAGAGAGGUGCCCAACCUGGCCCAGGGCCUCAGGGCAGGCUUCCUGGGGAAGGACAACACGCCUCGAGACCUAUAAAGGAAGGAAGGGGAAAGGUGCUCCACAUAGAGGUCACGGCUUCAGCAAGCGCCUGGCGAGGGGAACCUGCAUGGUGCGCACUGCGAAUUCUAAGCCUCGAGGAGGGACCUAGAGGGAGGAAGAGAGGUCUGCAGGGAAUUCAAGUGAGUCAUUAAAAACAAAUCCUUCCCUUGACUGCCCCUCAGAUAGCUCAUCCACAAAAUGGGGGAAAGACGAGGAUGAAAUGAGACGCAGGGCCUGGCACACUACUGUGGCCUUUAUGAGACCUUCAGGUCUCCCUAAUUGUUUACCUCUCCACCCAGACACACUUUAGGGGGAUGGCCACCAGGGGCCAGUAGCGGGGCUCCAGAAGUGGCUGAGAAUGAUGGCCUGAGACAGAGCUGGAGGGACCACUGUGCUGGAUUGGUUUAUUUAUUUAUUUAUUUAUAAUUUUUUUUUCUUUUUGUGAGGAAGAUUGACCCUAAGCUAACAUCUGUGCCAGUCUUCCUCUACUUUGUAUAUGGGACGCUGCCACAGCAUGGCUUGAUGAGUAGUGCGAAGGUCCGAGCCAGGGAUUGGAAUCUGUGAACCCCGGACCGCCAAAGCAGAAAGCGUGAACUUAACCACUACGCCAUGGAGGGACCGCCGUGCCCAGUUGGUUUAAAUCAGCGCCUCUGAGAUGGCAGCACCAGGAGACCCCUUGGGCUCCAAGCAUCCAACCCCCAUGAGACAGCAGAGCUUCAUCCUGCAAGGCACGGCACCAAGUCAAAGAACUGGGUGAGCCCCCUCACACGGAGGGCGCUGGAUAGAGACGUUUAGUGUAACCAGAAAUUCAUUCUUCCCUCCAGCAAAUGUUUAUUAAGCAUCCACUAUGUUCCAGCUGUUAGAAGCCGUGGGGUUGCAACAGACAAUAAACCAAUAUAGUCUGUGUGAGUGUGUGUGUGUAUGUGUGUGAGAUGUUGAAAAGUUCUCCUAGGGAGAAAAAUUAAGACGGGAAGGGGAACAAGGAAUGUGGAAAUGGUUUGCAAUUUGAAAUAGGAUGGUGCAGGAAGGCCUUCUGGGAAGGGACCUUUGAAUAGAGAUCAGAAGAUAUGGUGGGAAUAAGCCAUGAAGACAUCUGAGGGAAGAGGGUCCCAGGCAGAGGGGACAGCAAGUGCAAAUGCCCUGGGGCAAGAUUGUGCUUGUCAUGGUUCAAAGAGCAGUGAAGAAGCCAGAGAGGGGGCUGAGGCAGGGGGCCAGAUGGAGUAAGGCCUUCCAGGUCACCAGGAUGCCCCAAAGUGGAUGUAAUACAUAGUGACAAAGGUACACAAUAGGAGUGAGGCCCAGAGCCGCUCAUUAGGCAACUCUAAACUUGUGUCUCAUUACCCAACCACACCUCCUGCAGUGCACUAUGAAUUAAUAUUUUCUAUAAAUCCUGUAAUUAUCUUGUGAAUAGCACAAUUAUAUUGCAUUGUAUUUGUAUGUGUUAAAAGCGCUCAUUUGUUAAAUGUAAACAUUUGAAAUAUACCAUGUAUUAUGCAGCCCUUUUCACACUUUUAUUUAAUAAACUGGAAGCCUUAAAAUUGGAAGCAGAAGGGCCUUUUCUUCCAAGAGUUCCCUGGAGGCAGGUCUACACUCACACUCAUCCACACCCUCACAUACACCACACUGACUCACCCACUCACCCACAGUGCCCAGCCAGAAGCCCGGGCUGGGAGGCAGAGACCUGUUCACCUGCCACUCGGGGUGGCCUCGGGCAGAUCCCUGCAGUGUCUUCCACUCCCUCCACCUCACCUUGCCCAGCCCUUAACAGUUUAUAGACAGCGUCCUUGUCCUCAUGGACCUUCACUACAAAAUGGGCAGGGGUUAAUGUGUCCAUUUUACAGACAGGUAAACUGAGGCUCUGAGUGGUGCCUGCUCAAAGCGGCUGAGGAUGGAACAGGGAGACUAGAGAAGGCAAAAUGGGGAUGGGGAAGAUUUAGAAGUUCAAAGGUGAGGAGAGGGGCGGGAGACUGUCUUUGCUGACUCUGGUGGACCAUGACCUCAGACAGACCUGGGUUUGAAUCCCAGCCCCACCACUUAUUUACUUUGGAUAAAUUCCUUAAACUCUCUGAGCCUCUGCUUCCAAAUCUUUAUAUUUACAUCCAAAUCAUUGUGGCAAUAAUGAUAGUACUCACCUCGUGAUUUUCUUGUGCAGAUUAAAUGAGGUCACAUCGAUGAAACGGCUGUUGUUAUUAUUGUUAUUUUUGGUCUUACCGAGUCCUGGGUGAGAGGUGGAGCGGGGUGAGGAGGAGGCUGUUCAGAUGACACCCCACCCAGCCACAGCCAAGUGCUGGCUCGACUCCGGCUGUGUUGCUUCCUCUGCCUGUGUAGACAGUGGGUAUUCUACAAUGACUACAGUCCAACCUUUCCCGUCACUCCUGCUUUAUAGUUUCUGAAGUGCUUUCAUUCAUUCAUUCAUUCACUCUUCAACAUUUCCUGAGUGCCUCGUGUGUAAACCAGCACAGUGCUGGGUCCUGGGAAUCUCCUGGAAUGAGGCAGGCACUGUCCCUGCACCCAGAGAGCUUCAGACAUCACGUCGUUGCCGCACAAAUAAAUAUAUAGUUAGAAACUGGAUUAUGGGCUAGAAGAGAAAAAUACAGGGGGACUAGGAGAGAGAAUCACAAGGGGCCCUAAUUUAAUCUCAACAGACCCGCACAGCAGCGGCCAAGGAAAACUCUCACCCCAUUGCCUUGGAUGGAGACCCUGAGUCUCAGGACAGCAUAGGCAUGGGGCCAAGGGCACCGAUGAGGUGGGGUGCAGGAACCAGGAGGCCAGCAUGUCCAGCUGACUCCUUCUCCACCCAAGCUGGCCUGGGAGAAGGAGAGCUCUGCCAAAGGGUCCCCCCCUGGAGUGAGGCCUGUGGGGCUGCCAGGGAAGGGAGUGGGCCUGUGUGGACUCCUAUGUUCCCUUGACACAGCUGCUUUGCAUCUCCUGAAGGGUGGGGGCUGACUCACCCCCCAGGGUCUGAAAGGCAGGGUGUACCAUUCCUUCCCUGUGGGCACCAGCCUGGGCCUACCCUCUGGACAGAGCUGUUCCAAGCUUGGGCUCCAGGGGGCCGGGCUGAGAGUGGGGGAGGGUUGCUCCCUAGGGGAGGCUAUGCCAGGCUGGCUUGGCAGCAUGCCCACCUUGUGGGCAGAGCAGGCUGGAGGCUGUGCUGGUUCUGAGUUCAGUCUGUUGAGCUAUUGUUUGGUACUGACCCCAGAACCACCAGCCUCUGAACUCUAUUUUGCCACUUGCAAAACCCCUGCAUAACCCCUAUCUCCUUUCAUCCUCACCAAAAACCUGGCAGGAGAGAAAAGGCGCUGGGCAUGGAGCCAGCAGAUGAGGGCUGGAGUCCUAGCAAGUGCUACAUUUCUUUCAUUCAGUCAUUCAACAAACAUACAGGUGUGAAAUGAUGCUUGGCCUCAGGACGGCUGUGGAAGGAGAAGUCUGACCCUCAGGAAUCCCCCAUGGGUGCCAAGCAGGAGUCUGAGCAUAGCUGGGUGGGUGUCUCGGGGGCGGUAGUGUCCAGUCUGGGCUUGGGUUCCCUGAAGCAGACAGACGCUGAGAUGAGAUUUUCGAUAUUUUUCUGCAGGAGGCUUGUUGGAGCUGCUCUCAGGCCUGACCCCUGGAAGGGAGUGAGGAAACCCAAGUGGCCUGAGGUGCAGCUGCAGCAGAGGCCUCAGCCUAUCCCUCGGGGAGCUUGGGAACUGGGACAGCCCUUUGGAAUUGACCCAAACUGAGGCCAACUCUCUGGUGACCUGUCACUGAAUAUGGGCUACCCCGUGGGAGGGACAUAAUCUUGUAGGUAGCUACUGCAGGAAUGAGCUCCUCAGUCCUGAAGGGGGUCUGGGUGGUGCAUGAGCAGCCCCUUCAUACAACCCCCAAAGAGGCGCUCCUCACCCCUCUUAACUGUGGAAAAUCUAGACUUAUUACAAAGCUCUUCUCCAUCCUCCAUAUUUGUGGGAACUUCAGGGCUGUUUUCAUAAGUCCAGGAACCCGCCUUGGUCAGCCUCGACUCUGAAUGCUCCUCAGCCUGGUAUGCAGUAAGCGCUCACUAAUUGUUCGAUGGCCAGGAUAGAGUGUAGGGGGAGGAGAAAGGGGCGAAUCUAGGGAGACUCCCAGCUUUCUUUCUGGUUUGGGCCCCUGGCUAAGACAGAGGUCAAAUUGGGGAGAGAAGAUGUGGUGGAUUGGGGACACGCCAAGGUCGUAGUGUGACUGAGACACCCAGGCCCUAGGGUCUGGUGCCAGCUCCACGAGGAGCACCCCCAUGAUGGAGUAAGAGGGAGAAGAGCCCAAGAGGGCUGCAGAGGGGGAGGGGAGCCUGGACGGAAGGGAACGGAGUCGCAGUAUCCAGGGAGCCGGCAAUGAUGUCAGACACUGAGAGGGCAAAGGGGAUGGGGAUCGAGAAAGGGGACAAAGAGAACAUGGCCGGGUCUCGGUGAGGCAUGCAGAAGGCUGGGAGGGGGGCUUGGUGAGGGGCCUGGAGGCUCGGUGAGGGCGUGAGAGGCCCCUGGUGCAGUCGUGG
Long non-coding RNA from Equus caballus (horse), 8883 nucleotides. The record is from Ensembl. Lineage: Eukaryota; Metazoa; Chordata; Mammalia; Perissodactyla; Equidae.